CGGCCUAUAGCUCAAUUGGUAGAGCAUCGCUCUUACAAAGCGGGUGUUUGUGGUUCGAGUCCACAUGGGCCGA
Molecule: transfer RNA, 73 nt
Filed under: Kalinella pachyderma
Lineage: Eukaryota; Viridiplantae; Chlorophyta; Trebouxiophyceae; Watanabeales; Watanabeaceae
Description: tRNA-Val
Rfam family: tRNA
About the family: Transfer RNA (tRNA) molecules are approximately 80 nucleotides in length. Their secondary structure includes four short double-helical elements and three loops (D, anti-codon, and T loops).
Source: RNAcentral